RNAcentral lists this ribosomal RNA (731 nucleotides) under Meloidogyne konaensis. RNAcentral's name for it is "SSU rRNA". It matches the Rfam family "Eukaryotic small subunit ribosomal RNA", at positions 116 to 862 of the family's 1831-position model. Lineage: Eukaryota; Metazoa; Nematoda; Chromadorea; Rhabditida; Meloidogynidae. The record is from RNAcentral.
CCCAUCUGACUUGUUUCUAAAUGGGAUAACUGUGGAAAAGCUAGAGCUAAUACAUGCACUAGAGCUUUGUCCUUACGGAAAAGCGCAUUUAUUAGAACAAAACCACGCGGCUUCGGCUGCUUCUUGUUGACUCAGAAUAACUAAGCUGACCGCAUGGCCUUGUGCCGGCGGCGUGUCUUUCAAGCGUCCACUUUAUCAACUUGACGGGAGCAUAAUCGACUCCCGUGGUGGUGACGGAUAACGGAGGAUCAGGGUUCGACUCCGGAGAAGGGGCCUGAGAAAUGGCCACUACGUCUAAGGAUGGCAGCAGGCGCGCAAAUUACCCACUCUCGGCUCGAGGAGGUAGUGACGAGAAAUAACGAGACUGUUCUCUUUGAGGCCGGUCAUCGGAAUGGGUACAAUUUAAACCCUUUAACGAGUAUCAAGCAGAGGGCAAGUCUGGUGCCAGCAGCCGCGGUAAUUCCAGCUCUGCUAAUACAUAGAAUUAUUGCUGCGGUUAAAAAGCUCGUAGUUGGAUUCGUAUCGGUACCUUGGAACCCUUCUGGUGUCUCUAGGCGUUAUCGAUUUAUCGCAAUGUUCGGCUUUGAGUCCUUAACAGGAUUCUUAACAGGCAUUGCAAGUUUACUUUGAACAAAUCAGAGUGCUUCAAACAGGCGUUUUCGCUUGAAUGAUCGCGCAUGGAAUAAUACAGAAUGAUUUCCGUUCAGUUUUUUUGGUUUUACGGGCUGAGA